RNAcentral lists this unclassified non-coding RNA (414 nucleotides) under soil metagenome. Its description in RNAcentral is "partial contains 5.8S ribosomal RNA, internal transcribed spacer 2, and large subunit ribosomal RNA". The stretch from base 1 to 120 matches the Rfam family "5.8S ribosomal RNA", at positions 35 to 154 of the family's 154-position model. The record is from RNAcentral.
GAUGAAGAACGUAGCGAAAUGCGAUAAGUAAUGUGAAUUGCAGAAUUCAGUGAAUCAUCGAAUCUUUGAACGCACCUUGCGCUCCUUGGUAUUCCUCGGAGCAUGCCUGUUUGAGUAUCAUGAAACUCUCAAAGAAAAUCUUUUGUUAAUUCAAUUGGUUUGCUUUGGACUUGGAGGUUUUUUUUGCAGAUUAAUUUCUGCUCCUCUUAAAUAUAUUAGCUUGAUCUCAGUAUAUGCUCGGUUCCACUCGGCGUGAUAAGUAUCACUCGCUGAGGACACUGGUAAAAAAGGUGGCCGGGAAAUACAGAUGAACCGCUUCAAACAGUCCAUUGACUUGGACAAUAUAAGUUUUAAGAUCUGAUCUCAAAUCAGGUAGGACUACCCGCUGAACUUAAGCAUAUCAAAAGCGGAGGA